RNAcentral lists this long non-coding RNA (336 nucleotides) under Brassica napus (rape). Its description in RNAcentral is "long non-coding RNA (BNAP_LNC016683)". Lineage: Eukaryota; Viridiplantae; Streptophyta; Magnoliopsida; Brassicales; Brassicaceae. The record is from RNAcentral.
UCGGUAUAAUGUUUUUAUCAAUUAAUUUAGUAAAACUUCAUAAUAUUGCCUCAAUCGGUGGAAUAACCACUACAAAAUUGUUAUUUUCUUGAAAAAAGGAAACAACAAUGUCUCCAAACCUCUUUGAAGAUCAUCAUAUGUUAUUGCAGGAUACAACUAUGCAUUAAAACAAUAUUUUCAUAUUUUUUGAAAUUUUCUUAAAAUCUAUGUGUUAAAUGAUUGAGUUUUCGGUAAAUGAUUUAUAUACUGACGCAUAUAAUCAUUAGUGUUGUUUAAGAAACUUUAACCACAUUCUACAUUUGUAUUAACGUAUGCUAAACUCUCUUUAAUGGUACA